Molecule: ribosomal RNA, 409 nt
Filed under: bacterium
Lineage: Bacteria
Description: partial 16S ribosomal RNA
Rfam family: Bacterial small subunit ribosomal RNA
Source: RNAcentral
UGGGGAAUUUUGCACAAUGGGCGGAAGCCUGAUGCAGCGACGCCGUGUGGGGGAUGAAGGCCUUCGGGUUGUAAACUCCUUUCGUCAGGGACGAAGUUUGUUUGACGGUACCUGGAUAAGAAGCACCGGCUAACUACGUGCCAGCAGCCGCGGUAAUACGUGGGUGCGAGCGUUGUCCGGAUUUACUGGGCGUAAAGGGCUCGUAGGUGGUGUGUUGCGUCGUCUGUGUAAUCCAGGGGCUUAACUUUUGGUUGGCAGGCGAUACGGGCAUUGCUUGAGUGCUGUAGGGGAGACUGGAAUUCCUGGUGUAGCGGUGAAAUGCGCAGAUAUCAGGAGGAACACCGAUGGCGAAGGCAGGUCUCUGGGCAGUUACUGACGCUGAGGAGCGAGAGCAUGGGUAGCGAACAGG